GCCCGAAGUGAGUGAAAUCCCAGUCCUCGAUCCUUUUAGAGUAAACUCCAUCCUCACCCUCGAGAACUUAGAGAUUUUUAGAUUGAAAUACCAAGUCCCAAUCAAGUUCAGGCUAGAGGUCGCCGUUCCUAGGGAAUGGAUGGCUCUUCCUCGUCAGGGCCGAAUAAGUCUUUGUGAGGAAGCCCUGAAGGCUGAUUUUUCACUGUAUUUUCUCUUUUUAGUCGUAGAAUUUUUAAAUUUAUAUAGAAUAAGCUCCUAUAGCAUAGUGUCGAACUCCUAGUGUCAGAUUUUAGGCUUUUUCAUCCACUGCC
This 311-nucleotide long non-coding RNA is filed under the name Elaeis guineensis (African oil palm). RNAcentral describes it as "long non-coding RNA (EGUI_LNC023949)". Lineage: Eukaryota; Viridiplantae; Streptophyta; Magnoliopsida; Arecales; Arecaceae. The record is from RNAcentral.